RNAcentral lists this ribosomal RNA (519 nucleotides) under Devosia sp. LOT3. RNAcentral's name for it is "bacterial SSU rRNA". It matches the Rfam family "Bacterial small subunit ribosomal RNA", at positions 72 to 635 of the family's 1533-position model. Lineage: Bacteria; Pseudomonadati; Pseudomonadota; Alphaproteobacteria; Hyphomicrobiales; Devosiaceae. The record is from RNAcentral.
GCUCUUCGGAGCUAGUGGCAGACGGGUGAGUAACGCGUGGGAAUCUACCCAGUUCUCUGGAAUAACUGAUGGAAACGUCAGCUAAUACCGGAUACGCCCUUUUGGGGAAAGAUUUAUCGGGAUUGGAUGAGCCCGCGUAAGAUUAGCUAGUUGGUGGGGUAAUGGCCUACCAAGGCGACGAUCUUUAGCUGGUCUGAGAGGAUGAUCAGCCACACUGGGACUGAGACACGGCCCAGACUCCUACGGGAGGCAGCAGUGGGGAAUAUUGGACAAUGGGGGCAACCCUGAUCCAGCCAUGCCGCGUGAGUGAUGAAGGCCUUAGGGUUGUAAAGCUCUUUCACCGGUGAAGAUAAUGACGGUAACCGGAGAAGAAGCCCCGGCUAACUUCGUGCCAGCAGCCGCGGUAAUACGAAGGGGGCUAGCGUUGUUCGGAAUUACUGGGCGUAAAGCGCACGUAGGCGGAUAUUUAAGUCAGGGGUGAAAUCCCGGAGCUCAACUCCGGAACUGCCUUUGAUACUG